AAAACGGCCCUUUUCAGGGCCCCACAAAAAUAAAAGAGUUUGUUA
Non-coding RNA from Culex pipiens (northern house mosquito), 45 nucleotides. The record is from Rfam. Lineage: Eukaryota; Metazoa; Arthropoda; Insecta; Diptera; Culicidae.